RNAcentral lists this ribosomal RNA (498 nucleotides) under uncultured bacterium. RNAcentral's name for it is "partial 16S ribosomal RNA". It matches the Rfam family "Bacterial small subunit ribosomal RNA", at positions 30 to 523 of the family's 1533-position model. The record is from RNAcentral.
AUUGAACGCUGGCGGCAUGCCUUACACAUGCAAGUCGAACGGUAACAGGUCUUCGGAUGCUGACGAGUGGCGAACGGGUGAGUACUACAUCGGAACGUGCCUAGUAGUGGGGGAUAACUACUCGAAAGAGUGGCUAAUACCGCAUGAGAUCUACGGAUGAAAGCAGGGGAUCGCAAGACCUUGUGCUACUAGAGCGGCCGAUGGCAGAUUAGGUAGUUGGUGGGAUAAAAGCUUACCAAGCCGACGAUCUGUAGCUGGUCUGAGAGGACGAGCAGCCACACUGGGACUGAGACACGGCCCAGACUCCUACGGGAGGCAGCAGUGGGGAAUUUUGGACAAUGGGCGCAAGCCUGAACCAGCAAUGCCGCGUGCAGGAUGAAGGCCUUCGGGUUGUAAACUGCUUUUGUACGGAACGAAAAGCCCUGGGUUAAUACCCUGGGGUCAUGACGGUACCGUAAGAAUAAGCACCGGCUAACUACGUGCCAGCAGCCGCGGUAA